This 1453-nucleotide ribosomal RNA is filed under the name uncultured Bordetella sp. Its description in RNAcentral is "partial 16S-23S ribosomal RNA intergenic spacer". It matches the Rfam family "Bacterial small subunit ribosomal RNA". Lineage: Bacteria; Pseudomonadati; Pseudomonadota; Betaproteobacteria; Burkholderiales; Alcaligenaceae. The record is from RNAcentral.
GGAACUGAUCUGACUCAGAUUGAACGCUGGCGGAUGCCCACAAGUCAGGCAGCAGCUGGACUGGUCUGGCGAGUGGCGAGCGGGUGAGUAUUGUAUAUCGGUUCACCUGGCUGCUGAGGGGAUAACUACGCAAUGGCAAACUAUCUGCUGCGCUUACGCCCUUCGAGGGAAAGCAGAGACCUUCACGGGGCCUCGCACUAUUCAGGCGGCCAAUCUUCUCGGAUCCGGCUGGUGAGGCCAGACGCCAGCUCACCCGAAGGCGACGAUCGCGCAAACUGGUUUGAGGUUGACCAACCACACUGGGACUGAGGCGGCCGGAACUCUGCGGGGGCAGCGGUGAAGGAUUUUGGACGUGGAAGCCCCUGGUCGGCCAUCCCGCGUGCGAUGAAGGCCUUCGGUUCGCUUCGCGCGGCAGGAAAGAAGCGGCACAGGAUGUGCCCGAUGCAGCGGCGGUACCUGCAGGGUCAGCGCAAAGCUGCUACGUCUCGCCGCCGCGGUAAUACGUAGGAAUUUGGUCAAUCGGGAGUACUGGGCAUCAAAGCGUGCGCGGGCGGUUCGGAAGAAGAUGCUGAAAUCCCGAGCUGCUUUGGAACUGCAUUUUUUAACUGCGAGCUAGAGUGUGUCAGAGGGAGGUGGAAUUCCGCGUGCGGUGAAAUGCGUAGAUAUGCCGGAACUGAUGGCGGGCGAAAGCCUCUGGGAUAACAUUGACGCUCAUGCACGAAGCGUGGGGAGCAAACGGGAUUAGAUACCCUGGUAGUCCACCCUAAUCAACUUCAGCUGUUUGAGACCUUCAGACGCGGUGACAACAACAUGUGAGAGGUCGAUAACACAGAGGCUCGGUCAUAAGAUUAAACUCAAAGGAAUUGACGGGGACCCUGCUGACGGUGGAUGAUGUGGAUUAAUUCGGUAACGCGAAAAACCACACCUUGACAUGUCUGGAAUCAAGAAAGUUUGGAGUGCUCGCAGAAACCGGAACACAGGUGCUGCAUGGCUGUCGAUCAGCUCGUGUGUCGUGAGAUGUUGGGUUAAGUCCGCAACAGGCGCAACCCUUGUCACGGUAGAUUUGCUACGAAGAGGCACUCUAAUGAGACUGCCGGUGACAAACCGGAGGAAGGUGGGGACCGACGUCAGGUCUCAUGGCCCUUAUGGGUAGGGCUUCACGUCAUACAAUGGUCGGAACGGGGUCGCCAACAUGAGGAGACAAUCCCAGAAACCCGAUCGUAGUCCGGAUCCGGUCGCUCGACUGCGUGAAGUCGGAAUCGCUAGUAAUCGCGGAUCAGCAUGUCGCGGUGAAUACACGUUCGGGUCUUGUACACACCGCCCGUCCACCAUGGGAGUGGGUUUUACGAAGUAGUUAGCCUAACCCGUAGAGAGGCGUUCACAGUAGGAUUCAUGACUGGGGUGAAGUCGUAACUAAGGUAACCCUGUUACUACACCAGUGUCCAGAAUAAAU